RNAcentral lists this ribosomal RNA (406 nucleotides) under uncultured bacterium. RNAcentral describes it as "partial 16S ribosomal RNA". It matches the Rfam family "Bacterial small subunit ribosomal RNA", at positions 30 to 526 of the family's 1533-position model. The record is from RNAcentral.
AUUGAACGCUGGCGGCAGGCCUAACACAUGCAAGUCGAACGAGUGGCGGACGGGUGAGUAAUGUCUGGGAAAAUGCCCGAUGGAGGGGGAUAACUAAUGGAAACGGUAGCUAAUACCGCAUACCAUGGGAUGUGCCCAGAUGGGAUUAGCUAUUAGGUGGGGUAAGGGCUCACCUAGGCGACGAUCCCUAGCUGGUCUGAGAGGAUGCACAGCCACCCUGGCACUGAGACACGGUCCAGACUCCUACGCGAGGCAGCAGUGGGGAAUAUUGCACAAUGGGCGCAAGCCUGAUGCAGCCAUGCCGCGUGUAUGAAGAAGGCCUUCGGGUUGUAAAGUACUUUCAGCGAGGAUGCGUUACUCGCAGAAGAAGCACCGGCUAACUCCGUGCCAGCAGCCGCGGUAAUAC